This 488-nucleotide ribosomal RNA is filed under the name uncultured bacterium. Its description in RNAcentral is "SSU rRNA". It matches the Rfam family "Bacterial small subunit ribosomal RNA", at positions 26 to 521 of the family's 1533-position model. The record is from RNAcentral.
AGGACGAACGCUGGCGGCGUGCUUCACACAUGCAAGUCGAACGGGGCUCAUUCGGUGGUAACACCGGAGAAGGCCUAGUGGCGAACGGGUGCGUAACACGUGAAGAACCUGCCCCGAAGACUGGGAUAACAGCGGGAAACCGCUGCUAAUACCGGAUGACCCCACCAGGCCGCAUGGCCAGGUGAGGAAAUGGGCCUACCGCUUCGGGAGGGCUUCGCGGCCUAUCAGCUUGUUGGUGGGGUAACGGCCUACCAAGGCUACGACGGGUAGCUGGUCUGAGAGGACGACCAGCCACACUGGGACUGAGACACGGCCCAGACUCCUACGGGAGGCAGCAGUGGGGAAUCUUGCGCAAUGGGCGAAAGCCUGACGCAGCAACGCCGCGUGAGGGAUGAAGGUCUUCGGGUUGUAAACCUCUUUCGAGCAGGGACGAUUGUGACGGUACCUGCAGAAGAAGCUCCGGCCAACUACGUGCCAGCAGCCGCGGU